RNAcentral lists this small RNA (84 nucleotides) under Enhydrobacter aerosaccus. Its description in RNAcentral is "Pseudomonas sRNA P9". It matches the Rfam family "Pseudomonas sRNA P9". From Rfam's summary of the family: P9 appears to be conserved in several Pseudomonas species in addition to Bordetella spp. In both Pseudomonas and Bordetella spp P9 appears to be located upstream of a predicted threonine dehydratase gene. Lineage: Bacteria; Pseudomonadati; Pseudomonadota; Alphaproteobacteria; Hyphomicrobiales. The record is from Rfam by way of RNAcentral.
GUCGUUAUUCUCGCCAUCCAGCCGGUGGUGGGUUAGCGCGCGUCCGAACGGUCCCGAAGCAACCCGCCCCGAGAGGCGGGUUUU